UGGGGAAUAUUGCACAAUGGGCGCAAGCCUGAUGCAGCCAUGCCGCGUGUGUGAAGAAGGCCUUCGGGUUGUAAAGCACUUUCAGCGAGGAGGAAGGUGGUGGACUUAAUACGUUCAUCAAUUGACGUUACUCGCAGAAGAAGCACCGGCUAACUCCGUGCCAGCAGCCGCGGUAAUACGGAGGGUGCAAGCGUUAAUCGGAAUUACUGGGCGUAAAGCGCACGCAGGCGGUUUGUUAAGUCAGAUGUGAAAUCCCCCGGGCUCAACCUGGGAACUGCAUUUGAAACUGGCAAGCUAGAGUCUCGUAGAGGGGGGUAGAAUUCCAGGUGUAGCGGUGAAAUGCGUAGAGAUCUGGAGGAAUACCGGUGGCGAAGGCGGCCCCCCUGGACGAAGACUGACGCUCAGGUGCGAAAAGCGUGGGGAGCAAAACAGGAUUAGAUACCCUGGUAGUCCACGCUGUAAACGAUGUCGAUUUGGAGGUUGUGCCCCUUGAGGCGUGGCUUCCGGAGCUAACGCGUUAAAUCGACCGCCUGGGGAGUACGGCCGCAAGGUUAAAACUC
RNAcentral lists this ribosomal RNA (560 nucleotides) under uncultured bacterium. RNAcentral describes it as "partial 16S ribosomal RNA". It matches the Rfam family "Bacterial small subunit ribosomal RNA", at positions 355 to 902 of the family's 1533-position model. The record is from RNAcentral.